AUCAUGGCUCAGGACGAACGCUGGCGGCGUGCUUAACACAUGCAAGUCGAACGGGGUCCAUCCAGUGGCAACACUGGUGAAGACCUAGUGGCGAACGGGUGAGUAACACGUGAGGAACCUGCCCCGGUCUCUGGAAUAACAGGUGGAAACACCUGCUAAUACCGGAUGCCGUCGGACCAUCGCAUGGUGGACCGACGAAAGAUUUAUCGGAUCGGGAGGGUCUCGCGGCCUAUCAGCUUGUUGGUGGGGUAACGGCCUACCAAGGCGUCGACGGGUAGCUGGUCUGAGAGGAUGAUCAGCCACACUGGGACUGAGACACGGCCCAGACUCCUACGGGAGGCAGCAGUGGGGAAUCUUGCGCAAUGGGCGAAAGCCUGACGCAGCAACGCCGCGUGCGGGAAGAAGGCUCUCGGGUUGUAAACCGCUUUCAGAAGGAACGAAACUGACGGUACUUUCAGAAGAAGGUGCGGCCAACUACGUGCCAGCAGCCGCGGUGACACGUAGGCACCAAGCGUUGUCCGGAUUUAUUGGGCGUAAAGAGCUCGUAGGCGGUUCAGUAAGUCGGGUGUGAAAACUCUGGGCUCAACCCAGAGACGCCACCCGAUACUGCUGUGACUUGAGUACGGUAGGGGAGCAGGGAAUUCCUGGUGUAGCGGUGAAAUGCGCAGAUAUCAGGAGGAACACCGGUGGCGAAGGCGCUGCUCUGGGCCGAAACUGACGCUGAGGAGCGAAAGCGUGGGUAGCAAACAGGAUUAGAUACCCUGGUAGUCCACGCCGUAAACGUUGGGCACUAGGUGUGGGCUCUAACCAACGGAGUCCGCGCCGUCGCUAACGCAUUAAGUGCCUCGCCUGGGG
RNAcentral lists this ribosomal RNA (855 nucleotides) under uncultured bacterium. Its description in RNAcentral is "bacterial SSU rRNA". It matches the Rfam family "Bacterial small subunit ribosomal RNA", at positions 16 to 878 of the family's 1533-position model. The record is from RNAcentral.